UACGGAGGGUGCAAGCGUUGUCCGGAUUUAUUGGGUUUAAAGGGUGCGUAGGCGGCUUUUUAAGUCAGGGGUGAAAGACGGUAGCUUAACUAUCGCAGUGCCCUUGAUACUGAAGAGCUUGAAUGGACUAGAGGUAGGCGGAAUGUGACAAGUAGCGGUGAAAUGCAUAGAUAUGUCACAGAACACCAAUUGCGAAGGCAGCUUACUAUGGUCAAAUUGACGCUGAGGCACGAAAGCGUGGGGAUCAAACAGG
Molecule: ribosomal RNA, 253 nt
Filed under: uncultured bacterium
Lineage: Bacteria
Description: partial 16S ribosomal RNA
Rfam family: Bacterial small subunit ribosomal RNA
Source: RNAcentral